RNAcentral lists this small nuclear RNA (109 nucleotides) under Meriones unguiculatus (Mongolian gerbil). Lineage: Eukaryota; Metazoa; Chordata; Mammalia; Rodentia; Muridae. The record is from RNAcentral.
CUGCUCAUCUCGGCACCACCUGUACUAAAGACCUGUCGCAAUACAGAGAAGAUUAUCACAGCUCUUGUGCAAACAUGACAUGCAAAUGUGUGAAGUGUUCCAUGUUUUU